AAUAAGUACUACUAUGUAAUAUUUGCUAGAGAAACUGAAAAAUAUGCUGGUUACAAGUCGGUUGCUUACUUAAUCAAAUAGUCCUAUGUGCUAGUAAGAGAAUGAAUGAAUUAACUAAUUAAUACAAUAAAAUACUAGUUAGUAUUACUAAUUAGUUUUUAGAAUUAAAUGUUUAGCCAGCUUGCCAUAUCUUGAGCGUGUGUGUGUGAAGGUGGGAGAGGCUGUUGCGCGCGCGUGUCCUCGUCUAUUUUUCCUGUGGGAAUUAAUGCCAUUUCACGUGGGUAUUAUUAGAGGUGGCCGUUACUAAACUUAGCUUCAUUCUCUAAGUUAUUCAUUCUCUAAGUUUGUCCAUGAGUGGACAAAAAAGAAAUGGCAACAAAUAACCAGACCGAUUAGGAAAAUGCCAAAAUAAGAAGGAAAAUAGCAUUGUAAACGAUGAGACGGAGACGUCUGAGAGCGAUGACUUCCGUGGCCGGGAGCAAGAUCGUUUCCUUGCCGUGGAAAAAUAGUCAGGAAGGGGAAAAAUGUUGAGGGGUUGGUGUGGGGUAAAGAGAAAGAAAAACUCGAUCUUUGUCUACAAUCAAUGCAGCCCUCCUCCUCCCCCAUGUCGCCGCCAUCUCCCAGGCCAUAAUUUACGAUCCCUCGCUAUUUAUUUGGCUCACACCUCCCGGUAAAGCCCCGUUAAACAACUUCACACCAAAGCAUGCCGUUGAAUCAUGAUGGCAGCUCAUUUCGCAGGUGAAGUGUGGAGUGAUGGGGCCCAGGACUGCUCUCUCUCUCGCCUUGUCGUCUCCAAAGUGCCAGGCAUUUCACACAGGGUGAGAGACGUUACUGAGGUGUGUGUUAUUCUUGAUGUCGGCCUCCAGCGGGGAGCAGGAGUCAACACAGCUAGUAACAUACAGAGUGCCAUCAGCCUGUCAAUCAAGUCAGGUAAUCACACCCCCAUUGGUUUCAGACACGUGCUCUUACAUGCACACGCAAAUAUACAUUAAGUACUAGUUUCACACCUAUGACACCUCUUAUUCAGGUGCAUUUUAGUCCAGUGUUUUCUGAACUCUGAUUCCACCCUCGCUUCACCCUUGGUGUUCAUUCUAGAGCCCUUUAAUUCCCAACUCAUUAUAUUACAGCAUAAUCUAUGUGGAGAUAAUAACCAUUUGGGCAAUCAGUGACUGAGUAUGCCAAAAGAUACCAUACACAUUCAUGCACACUCCUUAAAACAUAAAUUAUUGUCUUUAAUGUCUCUG
Molecule: long non-coding RNA, 1244 nt
Organism: Cyprinus carpio (common carp)
Lineage: Eukaryota; Metazoa; Chordata; Actinopteri; Cypriniformes; Cyprinidae
Source: Ensembl